RNAcentral lists this long non-coding RNA (1162 nucleotides) under Homo sapiens (human). Its description in RNAcentral is "HSALNT0376130". Lineage: Eukaryota; Metazoa; Chordata; Mammalia; Primates; Hominidae. The record is from RNAcentral.
GAGAGUUGCCUCGGCCUUUGGCCUUGUCAGGUUACACUGAGAAGACAGCUAUCUAUGAAUCAGGAAGCAGAGCUUCACCAGAGCACGAAGAAGAGAAAACAGAAAACAUCCAUUGAAUCCUCUGCCUCUGGUAAUGUAUGGCUCCCAGUAUGCCUCCUUCAAGAGCAUGACUGACCCAAUUACUAGUAUGAGCAAAAGGUAUCUAAAGUAAAUGGCCUUAUGUAUAAUCCUGAAUUAUAAGUCAUUGCAAAAGAAUCAGGCUUGUGGCUACUUCUCUGACAGAGCCAAACUCUCCAAUUCAAUUAUUCUGAGCAAAACAAACAAGGAGGGGGACCCUCUUACGGAUUAAAGACCUCUUUGUGAUAUGACUGGCCCAAUUCAAUUGCCUAAGCAUCACGUAGAAACAAUAGUUCAAUACUUCAAAGGAAAGUUUCAGAAAGGUGAUGAAAUUUAAGCUGGGCUUUAAAGGCUACAUCAAAUUUGACAAAUGGAAUUGUGAGGAAAGCACAUUAGAAGUAAAGAGUGAACCCACAAAAACAAGAGAACAUCAUGUUUCUAGAGGCUGCCUGCAUUCCUUGGCUAAUGACUUUGCAUCACUCUGACGUCUUGCUCCCAUGGUCGUAUCACCUACUACUGGCCCUGAUCUCACUACUUGUUAUAUGGAACAAAGGGAUAAGGAAGUGACUUGCCUAAGUCACUGAGGAACCUAAUAUUGAGAUUAGCACUCAAUGAUUCCUGGCUCUCAGAAUGUGUGCUGCUACCACCAGGCCACACUCUUCCCUCCAGAGAGAAGAUGUGUCAGCACGGAAUUGUGCUGAAGCAAAGAUGUGAAAUAGAAUGAUUACAUAUCUACCUAGUGGGAAGAUCUGGGGAAGAAUCUAUCAGUGCUGGCAGAGAAGCAAACCAUACGACAUCACUCAUCCCCAGAAAGUGAAGUUAAGGGAAAUAAAAAACAAUCUACACCAUUUAGAAAACACAGCCACCCCAUACCCUUGGAAAAAAUACACUAAAAUAUCUUCAUCUGAUUUGACCUCUAAUAACAUGAAUAAUUGUCUUAUAACUCACUUUCUUACCUCUUGAUUAUUCUACAGAUCCGGCACAUAUGAGCAAAAUCUGAUGAAAUUCACUCAUUUAAUUUGAAGAUUUUAAUUAUGUAGAAAAA